RNAcentral lists this ribosomal RNA (440 nucleotides) under uncultured bacterium. Its description in RNAcentral is "partial 16S ribosomal RNA". It matches the Rfam family "Bacterial small subunit ribosomal RNA", at positions 338 to 795 of the family's 1533-position model. The record is from RNAcentral.
CCUACGGGAGGCAGCAGUGGGGAAUAUUGCUCAAUGGGGGAAACCCUGAAGCAGCAACGCCGCGUGAAGGAUGAAGGUUUUCGUAUUGUAAACUCCUUUUAUUAGGGAAGAUAAUGACGGUAUCUGACGAAGAAGCCCCGGCUAACUCCGUGCCAGCAGCCGCGGUAAUACGGAGGGUGCAAGCGUUAUCCGGAAUUACUGGGCGUAAAGAGCGCGUAGGCGGGAUAGCAAGUCAGAUGUGAAAUGCUAGGGCUCAACCCGAGAACUGCAUUGGAAACUGUACUGCUAGAGUGCGGGAGAGGUAGGUGGAAUUCUUGGUGUAGCGGUGAAAUGCGUAGAGAUGAAGAGGAACACUGAUUGCGAAGGCGGCUUGCUGGAACGUAACUGACGCUGAUGCGCGAAAGCGUGGGGAGCAAACAGGAUUAGAUACCCGGGUAGUC